AGUGAACGCUGGCGGUAGGCCUAACACAUGCAAGUCGAACGGCAGCACGGUAAGAGCUUGCUCUUACGGGUGGCGAGUGGCGGACGGGUGGGGAAUACAUCGGAAUCUACUUUUUCGUGGGGGAUAACGUAGGGAAACUUACGCUAAUACCGCAUACGACCUACGGGUGAAAGCAGGGGAUCUUCGGACCUUGCGCGAUUGAAUGAGCCGAUGUCGGAUUAGCUAGUUGGCGGGGUAAAGGCCCACCAAGGCGACGAUCCGUAGCUGGUCUGAGAGGAUGAUCAGCCACACUGGAACUGAGACACGGUCCAGACUCCUACGGGAGGCAGCAGUGGGGAAUAUUGGACAAUGGGCGCAAGCCUGAUCCAGCCAUACCGCGUGGGUGAAGAAGGCCUUCGGGUUGUAAAGCCCUUUUGUUGGGAAAGAAAAGCAGCAGGUUAAUACCCCGCUGUUCUGACGGUACCCAAAGAAUAAGCACCGGCUAACUUCGUG
RNAcentral lists this ribosomal RNA (492 nucleotides) under uncultured bacterium. RNAcentral's name for it is "partial 16S ribosomal RNA". It matches the Rfam family "Bacterial small subunit ribosomal RNA", at positions 29 to 507 of the family's 1533-position model. The record is from RNAcentral.